This 185-nucleotide non-coding RNA is filed under the name Pseudomonadota bacterium. RNAcentral's name for it is "Proteobacteria bacterium 6S RNA". It matches the Rfam family "6S / SsrS RNA". From Rfam's summary of the family: E. coli 6S RNA was the first non coding RNA to be sequenced, but its function was unknown until recently. It consists of 184 nucleotides that fold into an extended hairpin structure with a large single-stranded internal bulge. The record is from RNAcentral. Lineage: Bacteria; Pseudomonadati; Pseudomonadota.
AUACCUCUGCGGUACCGGUGAGUUGCUAGAUACAUACCUUGAGCCUAUUUUUUUACUCAGGGACAACGCUGUAAAAAAUGUUGUUGUGCAACCCCAGAAAAUGGGAAGCCUGAUGCAUUUUUCAGUUCUCCCACUUGAACCUCUGGUUCAAGGGCAAUAGCAACCACAGUAUUCGUGGAGUGUAU